Molecule: ribosomal RNA, 620 nt
Filed under: uncultured Verrucomicrobiota bacterium
Lineage: Bacteria; Pseudomonadati; Verrucomicrobiota
Description: bacterial SSU rRNA
Rfam family: Bacterial small subunit ribosomal RNA
Source: RNAcentral
UAGCAAUACCGGGAAAAGUUUAGUGGCGAACGGGUGCGUAACACGUGGGCAAUCUGCCGAGAAGUGGGGGACAGCUCGCCGAAAGGCGAAUUAAUACCGCAUGUGGUCAGGGGAGACAUCUUCCCAACACUAAAGCCGGGGCAACCUGGCGCUUUUUGAUGAGCCCGCGGCCUAUCAGCUAGUUGGUGAGGUAACGGCUCACCAAGGCUAUGACGGGUAGCUGGUCUGAGAGGACGACCAGCCACACUGGAACUGAGACACGGUCCAGACACCUACGGGUGGCAGCAGUCGAGAAUUUUUCUCAAUGGGGGAAACCCUGAAGGAGCGACGCCGCGUGGAGGAUGAAGGCUUUCGGGUUGUAAACUCCUGUCAUUUGGGAACAAUGCUACUGGGUUAACUGCCUAGUAGUUGAUAGUACCAGAAGAGGAAGAGACGGCUAACUCUGUGCCAGCAGCCGCGGUAAUACAGAGGUCUCAAGCGUUGUUCGGAUUCAUUGGGCGUAAAGGGUGCGUAGGUGGCGCGCUAAGUCAGGUGUGAAAUUUCGGAGCUUAACUCCGAAACUGCAUUUGAUACUGGCGUGCUUGAGGACUGGAGAGGAGACUGGAAUUCACGGUGUAGCA